RNAcentral lists this ribosomal RNA (208 nucleotides) under Hetaerina vulnerata. RNAcentral's name for it is "partial 16S ribosomal RNA". Lineage: Eukaryota; Metazoa; Arthropoda; Insecta; Odonata; Calopterygidae. The record is from RNAcentral.
AAAAAUUAACUUACUAUGUUUAUAAAAAAUUUGUUUUAGAGAAUUAUCUUUUACUUUAGUAUAUUAUUGAAAAAGUUUUUUUUGUAAUAGUUUAUUAGUACUGUGGGGUAAUGUUGAAAUAUUCUGAAAAUUUAUUUUAAAUAAAGCAUACUUUUUUGUAGUACCUUUUGUAUCAGGGAUAAUUAAUUUUAUUUAAUUUAUAUUAAUA